This 1061-nucleotide long non-coding RNA is filed under the name Cottoperca gobio. Its description in RNAcentral is "lncRNA (ENSCGOG00000012605.1)". Lineage: Eukaryota; Metazoa; Chordata; Actinopteri; Perciformes; Bovichtidae. The record is from RNAcentral.
AUGUCUCACUAUUUGCAGAUGAUGAGUUUCUGAUCAUUUGUAAAUGUGUAUCUAUCUUGUCACGAGACUUGAGCCUUUUUCAACCUCGUUGGUAUGCUACAAGUUGCUCACCUCUUCCUUUCUCACUUCCUCUCUCCAGGGUCCUCCUAACUACAGCACAUAUGCAGGUCUGCACAGUAAUCAGAUUCUCACUGUCAAGGGUGACCAAGGCCAGGCUGGAGCCGCUGGUCCUCCUGGUCCGCCGGGUCCCCCCGGUCCCCGAGGCCCCCCUGGGAACACAGGCAAGGACGGGCCACGUGGCCCUGCUGGCGAGUCGGUAAGAGCUUCUCCUCAAGCAUCACAAUGCCAAAUGUACACCCACUACACUAUACAAUGCACCCAUACACACCCACACACUCCACUUAGUUGCUGUUAUUCUCAUCCUUCUCCAUCAUCCCCCCCUUUCCUCAUCCUCAAACUUACACCACAAAGAAUGUAGUCCCGUAAAGCACCUCAGUCAUCAGGGGCUGCUGUUACACCAAUUGUGUUGACCUGGUAGGGUUCAACCGCAGGGUGUGACAGAUUGCAAAUGUGUGUGUGUAUGUGUGUGAAAGUGCAUUUAUACACAUGCAUUCAGGGGGAAAGGGUCUAUGCAGUAAAUUGAAGUGAACCCAUAUUCUCAUUCUUCGGGGUUUGCUAGUGAGCUGUGGCUUACCUAAAAGCUCCCAGAAUAGCAACUCUACUCCUGGCCUCAUCUGUUUUGUGUAAGACGGCGGCCACAAAGUUCUCCAACACGCCCCCAAUUCUCCCACCCUCCUACCACGACUGUGUCGCUGUGCACCCCUGAAACAGAUAUGCCACUGCGGCGAGUUCAUGGUCAGUUUGCUGGCCUCACCAAACAAUAGUUGUACUCCUCGCCUGAGGCAGUUUAUGUUUCUCAAAAUGUACUUUCUGCUUCCCAUAGUUUAGUUCGUAUGCAGCGGCAGCUUAAAGCUGUGGUUGUAGGAUGGAAGCGAGAGAGAGAGGCUAUGAAGGUUAUUGUUGUUUAACCAAAUGAAGGAAUAAAUGCUCUGUUACCCUCA